Molecule: ribosomal RNA, 253 nt
Filed under: uncultured bacterium
Lineage: Bacteria
Description: partial 16S ribosomal RNA
Rfam family: Bacterial small subunit ribosomal RNA
Source: RNAcentral
GACGGAGGAUGCAAGUGUUAUCCGGAAUCACUGGGCGUAAAGCGUCUGUAGGUGGUCCAAUAAGUCAACUGUUAAAUCUUGAGGCUCAACCUCAAAAUCGCAGUCGAAACUAUUAGACUAGAGUAUAGUAGGGGUAAAGGGAAUUUCCAGUGGAGCGGUGAAAUGCGUAGAGAUUGGAAAGAACACCGAUGGCGAAGGCACUUUACUGGGCUAUUACUAACACUCAGAGACGAAAGCUAGGGUAGCAAAUGGG